GGAAGAUCUCAGCUCUUGUUAUUUUCAUAGUUUUAUAUUCUGUAUCUUGUUUGAAAGGUUACAUUUCUAGUGUCUAUUGCCUCUUAUUGAAAAAUGAUUACUCUUCAGUGUUGAUGGAAUGUAGUUGUUUAAUGUAAUGGGAUUUAUGGUAUUUUUAUUGUUUUAUUGGAAGCUCUUUUUAUUGAUUAUUCUACUUUUAUAUCCAAAUGGAAGUGGGUUGUUGCUAUUUAGGCCGAUUACAGAUUGGUAAUUAUUUUGUACAUCUAUAGAAUAUUUAUGGUAUAUGAUGUGUUUUGUAGCAAAAUUGACGGUAUGCAUUGUUUGUCUUCUAUCUGGAAGGUCUUUUAUGGCAUGUGAUGAUGACCAUCGUGUUUGGUUCAUGCUGUAUUUUCUGCUCAAUAUUGGAAAUUUUCCUUUAUUGCAGUAAGCUUCAGAGUGAGGCAUUG
RNAcentral lists this unclassified non-coding RNA (446 nucleotides) under Hevea brasiliensis (rubber tree). Lineage: Eukaryota; Viridiplantae; Streptophyta; Magnoliopsida; Malpighiales; Euphorbiaceae. The record is from RNAcentral.